GGGUCAACCCGUUAAGACCCGUUAAAAAAACUAAAUUUACAUUUAUACCCUUAAAACUAAAUUUCAAAAUACUGAAAACCCUAACCCAAAAACAUUAUCCCACCAUUCCCAUUUCCCACGCCGCCCCCCCUUCAGAUUUUAUUUUCUCUUUGUUUUUACAGUCCAGACUCACUGCCUCUCUUCUUCCCAAGCCGUUACCGGCGUGUCCUGGUCUUCAACGUUUCAACGGCGCAGUAGCAGCAGAUGCACAUCCUCGGCCUCUUCUUACGCCGCCCCCCUCUUCGUCUUCAACCCACGCAGCAGCGGUCCACGACCACACCCAGUGGCACACGGCGCCACGCCCACUGCUCAAGCCCACGGCCGAUCCAGUUUCAAAGGAGAUACGAGUGAUGGAUGGUUACCUAGUUUGAGAUUUGAGAUGCUUCCACUGAAUGCUCGCCUCAGUGUUGAAAUUUCUGGGAUCUCUUGUGCGGGUUGCUGAACAGAACAAGAUUGUGAAGAAGCUUUUGGAUUUUAGCACUUGUAUACAUAAAGCUAUACGGGAAGCUUUUGGAAAUAAUGUAAUUUCAGGUUUUUCUGGCCAAAAAUGAAGUUGGAGAAAAACAAGGGCAAGGAGGACGCUCCACCUCAUUCUUGAAGCUCUAAAUUGGUUUAGAUAUGUGUUUUUAUUGUAUUUGGGAUUGUAAAAUUAAUAUAGUUUCUG
Carya illinoinensis is the source of this 703-nucleotide long non-coding RNA. RefSeq lists it as uncharacterized. NCBI's taxonomy places the organism in Eukaryota, Viridiplantae, Streptophyta, Magnoliopsida, Fagales, Juglandaceae. The record is from RefSeq and is a predicted model, not a curated record. The transcript is spliced from 5 exons.